Molecule: ribosomal RNA, 450 nt
Filed under: uncultured bacterium
Lineage: Bacteria
Description: partial 16S ribosomal RNA
Rfam family: Bacterial small subunit ribosomal RNA
Source: RNAcentral
GUGGGGAAUUUUGGACAAUGGGCGCAAGCCUGAUCCAGCAAUGCCGCGUGCAGGAAGAAGGCCUUCGGGUUGUAAACUGCUUUUGUACGGAACGAAACGGUCCUGGCUAAUAUCCGGGGCUAAUGACGGUACCGUAAGAAUAAGCACCGGCUAACUACGUGCCAGCAGCCGCGGUAAUACGUAGGGUGCGAGCGUUAAUCGGAAUUACUGGGCGUAAAGCGUGCGCAGGCGGUGCUGUAAGACAGGCGUGAAAUCCCCGGGCUCAACCUGGUAAUUGCGCUUGUGACUGCAGUGCUGGAGUGCGGCAGAGGUGGAUGGAAUUCCGCGUGUAGCAGUGAAAUGCGUAGAUAUGCGGAGGAACACCGAUGGCGAAGGCAAUCCCCUGGGCCUGCACUGACGCUCAUGCACGAAAGCGUGGGGAGCAAACAGGAUUAGAUACCCGUGUAGUCC